GGAGGUCUUCAAGCAUUUUAAAAGGAAGCUAACACCACAGAUUGGAAAACUUUACAUCUUCGGGCUUCAGCGACUGGUUUGGAGCCAGCCAGAGAAACCUCACCACUAAGUGUCGAGUUGAAGGGAAAUACAAUACAUCACCUUCCUCGUGGGCUGCCAUUCAGCCAGGAGUAACAGAGAUUAGCCUUCAAUCACACGGGGGCCAGAGCUGAAGGAAACCUUCCCGAGGACACGCCGGAGAAACAUUUUCAUUAGCGGAGGAGAAGCUGACGGAGAUGGAGUGGCCCUUCACCUCAGCUGCCAGACCUCUCGCCUGCCUGGCGUUAACAGGACGGGGAGAUGCUAAUGGAGGAGCUGGUGCCAGCUGCAGGUCUUUAAGCGCUGUCUGCAUCCAGAUACCGUUCUCUCUCAGGGGCUGCCUGUGGUGCUGCAUUAACGUCCCACCUCUGUGGUGAAGAAACAAUGAUGAUAUAACAGAGACCAAAAUGAAAUCCUCCUUGGAGUUGCCAAGAAUGAUGGAUAACUGCAGGAAAAUAUUAUUCUAUGGCUCUGGAAAAGGAAGAUCUACUUGCUUAGUAACCUGGUAAUGAGGUAGUGGCUCUACUCCGUGCAGAGACUGGAAGCCGGGGGAGAUUUGGGGUUACAAAGAGGGCUGGGCAGAGUUUGCUGCCCUUUCAGCUCCUUUCCCCUAUCACUGUCAACUUAGAUUUCACAUCAAGAGGGUGAUGUUAUGCCUGGCGGUGACAACAGCAGAAUGUCACUGGCAGAGGUGAAAUCUUUCCCUCCGUGAGGGUAAUUCUUCCUUUCCCGUCCCCUUGGCUUAUGUCAAGAACCUCUGGCUCCUGGUGCCCAGUGGGCCAUGCACACAUGGUGCUGAGGGGACAGCACAUUCUGUGCUGAGCCUCACUUUUCUUGCUGUCUUGGUAAGCAGCUCUGUGUCACUGAUGGCUCUUGGCUGCGUGGUGACCCGGGACAAAGGGAAACCCCUUGUCACUGUCUGAGAGAAGCCAGGGCCACGGGAAGCUGCCGUGUUUGCCAUCAUGGCAGUGCUGCUCAGAGUGCUCCUCUGCCGUGCUGGCACACUUAUAUCAUCAGCAGUUUUGCCAGGGAUGUCCCUUCAGAGACCAUUUGUGCUCUUCAGGGGCCAGGUCUGAGCUAGGUCAGGGUCUGAGGGGCAGACUUACACAUGGUAAUGGGUAAUGUCCCCCACAGGCUGUCUC
Molecule: long non-coding RNA, 1220 nt
Organism: Myiozetetes cayanensis
Lineage: Eukaryota; Metazoa; Chordata; Aves; Passeriformes; Tyrannidae
Exons: 4
Source: RefSeq, a predicted model, not a curated record